ACAGUGCCAUGGCCGCCUGAAUUAAGGCCCGGCAACAGACAAAGGCGCAGCUUGCUGCGCCUUUUUU
Molecule: small RNA, 67 nt
Filed under: Shimwellia blattae DSM 4481 = NBRC 105725
Lineage: Bacteria; Pseudomonadati; Pseudomonadota; Gammaproteobacteria; Enterobacterales; Enterobacteriaceae
Description: Escherichia blattae DSM 4481 Salmonella enterica sRNA STnc40
Rfam family: Salmonella enterica sRNA STnc40
Source: Rfam by way of RNAcentral